CAGCCGCCGCGGUAAUACGGAGGGUGCAAGCGUUAAUCGGAAUUACUGGGCGUAAAGCGCACGCAGGCGGUCUGUCAAGUCAGAUGUGAAAUCCCCGGGCUUAACCUGGGAAUGGCAGUGGAUACUGGCUCGCUAGAGUGUGUCAGAGGAUGGUGGAAUUCCCGGUGUAGCGGUGAAAUGCGUAGAGAUCGGGAGGAACAUCAGUGGCGAAGGCGGCCAUCUGGGACAACACUGACGCUGAGGCACGAAAGCGUGGGGAGCAAACAGGAUUAGAUACCCCCGUAGUCCCUGUCUCUUAUAA
RNAcentral lists this ribosomal RNA (301 nucleotides) under uncultured bacterium. Its description in RNAcentral is "partial 16S ribosomal RNA". It matches the Rfam family "Bacterial small subunit ribosomal RNA", at positions 509 to 809 of the family's 1533-position model. The record is from RNAcentral.